UACGUAGGCAGCAAGCGUUGUUCGGAAUUACUGGGCGUAAAGAGUGUGUAGGCGGUGUUCUAAGUCUGUUGUGAAAUCUCCCGGCUUAACUGGGAGGGUGCGGCGGAAACUGGAAUGCUAGAGGAUGGGAGAGGUAAGCGGAAUUCCUGGUGUAGCGGUGAAAUGCGUAGAUAUCAGGAGGAACACCUGUGGUGUAGACAGCUUACUGGACCAUUUCUGACGCUGAGGCGCGAAAGCGUGGGGAGCAAACAGG
RNAcentral lists this ribosomal RNA (253 nucleotides) under uncultured bacterium. Its description in RNAcentral is "partial 16S ribosomal RNA". It matches the Rfam family "Bacterial small subunit ribosomal RNA", at positions 524 to 776 of the family's 1533-position model. The record is from RNAcentral.